This is a small nuclear RNA of Gracilinanus agilis (Agile Gracile Mouse Opossum), 107 nucleotides long. The record is from RefSeq and is a predicted model, not a curated record. NCBI's taxonomy places the organism in Eukaryota, Metazoa, Chordata, Mammalia, Didelphimorphia, Didelphidae.
GUGCUUGCUUCAGCAGCACAUAUACUAAAAAUGGAAUGAAACAGAGAAGAUUAGCAUGGCUCAUGUGCAAUGAUAAUAUGCAAAUAUGUGAAGGGUUUCAUAUUGAA